UGAAUGAAGGAGUCAGUUCAAGCAGAAUUCUAGGCUUUUUCAAGGGAGAGACGUUUUCACUUAGAGAGCACAGCUGUUGUAUUUCAGUCCAAAAAAAGCAAAACAGACUGAUGAAAUUAUAAGCGGUUAAAAAAACUCCUGAAAACAUGAGAUGAUUGCUGCUACCUAAACUCCCUACGCCUUCUACCAAUGACAACAAAACUAAGGGAUUACACUGGUGGUUUUUAACCUCCUGAGAAGAGAUCAAAGGCACAAACGCUCCGGGAUACCUCUGGAUAUUAGCUGUACGCACAGCACCUGCAAAGGGCAAGGCGAGGCAAGCUCCAACCUCACUGUCACAUGAGCAGCAGCUGUCCUUUGUCGGAGAAGCGUGAUCUGCCGUGUCGAGUGAAACCUGAAGCAGUGGGAAAGAAGUGGUGAUGUGUAGGAAACCGAGGCAGGUGCUCUACGGUAAAAUCUGUUCAUGUCAACAGACUAUGUGCGAGCACUCUCCAGCGGAGAAAAGUAAGUAACUCCGUCCCCCAGCCACCAAAUUGAGAACCCCCCAAACUCUUAUUGUGAAAAGGGGAAGCUUGACGUUCGUAUUUCACAAUUGUACUUCCCUAUUUUUCAUGUCUGAAGGAGCUUUCACUUUCUUCCGGCUUGUCUGUCCCAAAUAGCCAUCAAAUUUAGCACAAUCACCUGAAAAUCAGAGGAAAAACGGAGCAAACGACAUGCACCGGCCACACCAGUCAGAGAGAGGGCUGAUAACGA
Molecule: long non-coding RNA, 753 nt
Organism: Athene cunicularia (burrowing owl)
Lineage: Eukaryota; Metazoa; Chordata; Aves; Strigiformes; Strigidae
Exons: 3
Source: RefSeq, a predicted model, not a curated record